Molecule: ribosomal RNA, 494 nt
Filed under: uncultured bacterium
Lineage: Bacteria
Description: bacterial SSU rRNA
Rfam family: Bacterial small subunit ribosomal RNA
Source: RNAcentral
UAGUCCACGCCGUAAACGAUGAUAACUAGCUGUUCGGGCCCACAGGGCUUGAGUGGCGCAGCUAACGCAUUAAGUUAUCCGCCUGGGGAGUACGGUCGCAAGAUUAAAACUCAAAGGAAUUGACGGGGGCCUGCACAAGCGGUGGAGCAUGUGGUUUAAUUCGACGCAACGCGCAGAACCUUACCAGCUUUUGACAUCCUGGUCGCGGAUUUGGGAGACCAUUUCCUUCAGUUCGGCUGGACCAGUGACAGGUGCUGCAUGGCUGUCGUCAGCUCGUGUCGUGAGAUGUUGGGUUAAGUCCCGCAACGAGCGCAACCCUCAUCCUUAGUUGCCAGCAUUUAGUUGGGCACUCUAAGGAAACUGCCGGUGAUAAGCCGGAGGAAGGUGGGGAUGACGUCAAGUCCUCAUGGCCCUUACAAGCUGGGCUACACACGUGCUACAAUGGCAUCUACAGUGAGUUAAUCUCCAAAAGAUGUCUCAGUUCGGAUUGGGGU